AAGCCGGACGUUCCUGGAGGAGGAGCAGGGCGGGGUUGUGGCAAAGCGCUGUGGGAGCAGAUGGGGCGGGGCUGUGGGAAAGAGCUGGAGAAGGGGAGCCAGGCUGGAGUGAGGCUGGCGUUCUCCCGCAAUGACUUCAUAACCAAGUUCUGGGUCCCUGCCUCUGGAGUGCCUGAUGAGACAAAACGGCUCCUCGUCCUGCAUCCCCGCUGCUACUUCCAGAAUUCAGGCCUCGUGGUCUGGAGCCUGCACUGUUCCAUGAGCCUCCUGACCAACCUGGAGGCCUCUGUCUUUCUUCCCUCAGUGAGAUGUGCCUACUUCUCCCUGGAGACGCUCGAGGAAGCAGGAAUGCUGGAGAUGAGCUGCUCCUCACUCUCACUCCUGGGUGUGCUGGGCAGUGGGGUGCAAUGCGCACGUAGGUGCACACUGUCCCUGGGCGGCAACGAGCAGCAGAGGUCUGAUCUGUGGUCGGGUGAGGAGAGGAAGUCCAAGUAAAGCAGCUGCAGCGAGGCCUCGUCUGCUCAGGGGCUUGUUCUUCUGUCUCUUUCAGAGGCCUCGUCUGCUCAGGGGCUUGUUCUUCUGUCUCUUUGCAGGGCUGUUUUGGACUCAGUAUUCACCUAAGCACUCCAAAUUACCCAGCACACCCUUCCUGCACGGCGCUGUGCUGCACCUUCACUCUGGUCACGGGUCUGGCAGUCGGCUCACCAAUUCCUUCUGCUUUCCUGGGACUCGCCGGCUUUUAGCACUGCAAUUCACUCAGCAAACUGGGACUGUUGGUCACCCUACCUGGCAGCCAGUGAUAAGGUGAGGGCCACUCCUGGGAGGGAGGACACCUGUGGGGAAAAUUCUUGUGUUAUUUAUUUCUCCUUCGGGAUAGGGUGCCUGCAGCGCUUCAUGGGAGGGGGUGGGCUGAUGCUGCGGGCUCAGAAGUUUCAAGGACAUCUGGGGAGACCAGAUAUUCAGAGACCUCCUAGAUGUGCCUGUUCCAUGUAUCAGGGACGCAGGUUUUCCCAACAGGGCUUGUGUCAUUGGCAUGACAGACCUGCCUUGGCUGAGCAUUCACCUGUCUUUGGAGUUCAGCCACCUUAGCAAGUCCGGGGUUUGUUCUUCAGACUUUGCUGCUCGCCCAUUGCCUGGAUCGGGGGCUACUUUGUAAACCGCCAGGAAGACUCCAGUGUUGCUGCUGAAUUUUUAGAUGUUUGUUCAUUGCUCUUGGCCUCUCAUUAAUCCCCUGUGGGUCAUCCAGGAAACAUACUCACCACUGUCUGCUCUCUGAGUUUUCAUUUCCAGGCAUCCGCCCUGCCUGGAUCUCCUCACCUGCCAGGAACUUCCUCUCCACAAGCCGGCCAUCCCAGCAAAAGUUCUAACACCAAAGACAACUGCCUGGGGCAUGAAGGGGAUGUGCUUCCCGGGCAUUUGCUGGCAGGGCGUCUCGUGAUCUCUCGGUAUUGGUGUGAGCACAGCCUGGCAGGAGAGGGCAGAUCUCAGUGCAAAGUAUGUCAAAAAGCAGAUGGAAGCCAGGCCCCCUCCUGAAAGAGGCUCCUUGAAGAUAAUUCUAACAUCUUUGUCAUCAGUGUUGACAUCUCUUGAUUGUAUCCUGUCAUUCCAUUUGAGAUCUUCCUGGUUCUGGCUGGCAUCCUCUGACAUCACUCCAGCAGAAGAAAGGGAAGGAGCACGCUGCAUUACUGCCUGGUCACAAGGUCCCUGUCUGAUCUGCCUUCACUCCACCUUUCAGAGUCUUAUGUUCGUUUUGUGUAUAUUAUCAAGGGGUUUUAGGUCACUUAGUUGGAAGAAUAGGGAAAAGUGUGUCUACUCCAGCUUUAUGGAAGUGGAAAUCUUCUGAGAAAUUUUUUUUGAUACAAAAUAUGUACAAGUACAUAUUUUGUAUCAAAAUAUAUAAUGUACAUGUCCCUUUUGUACAUGUAUAUAAAUUGUAUAUAAGUAUUUAGGGUUAUAAAAAUAACCAAAGACACCAAAAACUGCCACAGGUGGAUUUGAGAAGACAUUGAAAUGCCUCCCUUGCUAAGACAUGCUCAUUCUUGACAGGCUGGGAACCCUGAAAGCUGUAGUGUCACCACUGCCCUGUCCUGUACCUACCUAUCUUUUGACUCAUUUCCUCCAAGCUCAGGUUUUCAGUUUGGGGUAUGUGCCACCUAAAACUGAGCUGUGGAACUGCAGCACAAUCAUCAAAUUCAAAAAAGGCAAGGACAUCUUGCUCAGUUUUUAAGAUAUGCCAUAGAUGGAGUAAACCAAAACCUUUGAUUCCAGAUCCUUAACCCUGAUUAAAAACAACACAACGCUUCAUGCCUAUUUAAAACAUCCCUCGCAAAAGAUGGUUUGAACAUUCCAAGUUGGAAAUACCCAAUCUUUUUAAGUUACAGCACCCUUUUUGAUACAAAAAAUGUGCAUGACAGAAAUUGUACAGUGAGUAGUGUUAUAAAAAUAACCAAACACACC
Molecule: non-coding RNA, 2457 nt
Filed under: Pongo abelii (Sumatran orangutan)
Lineage: Eukaryota; Metazoa; Chordata; Mammalia; Primates; Hominidae
Source: RNAcentral